Molecule: long non-coding RNA, 392 nt
Organism: Canis lupus familiaris (dog)
Lineage: Eukaryota; Metazoa; Chordata; Mammalia; Carnivora; Canidae
Exons: 3
Source: RefSeq, a predicted model, not a curated record
GGUUUGGUAGCUACGUGUACUUCCAAGUGCACAUUCUGUGUGGGGAAGAUUCUGGGGAAACUGAAAAGAUGAGUUAGAUACAGGGAGGAAGGAGAUGGUUAUGGACAUUUGUAUAUCACUCUCAGCAUGAUUUUUAUGAAGCAUGACAACGUAAAACAAAAAGAUAAGAUCUUGGACACCCGGGGCUCAGAAUCUAAGAUUAAAGAAUCCAAAUGCCAUAGCAAAUAGGAAAUGGAGCCCAGAAGUGUUCUGUGACUGGCCCAGAAUCAGCAGUGGUAUGGAGGCUGAUAGGAUUGGAUUAAAAAACUUCUCACCUAGGAAUGUCUUCCUUGUCCUUCACUAACCAAAGAACUCGUCACCAUUUCAGAAUAAAGUCUCUUCAUGUCCCUGAA